AUACGGAGGAUGCGAGCGUUAUCCGGAUUUAGUUGGGUUUAAAGGGUGCGUAGGCGGAUAGAUAAGUCAGUGGUGAAAACCUGCAGCUUAACUGUAGACUUGCCGUUGAUACUGUCAGUCUUGAGUAUGGUCAAGGUAGGCGGAAUGUGUAAUGUAGCGGUGAAAUGCUUAGAUAUUACACAGAACACCGAUUGCGAAGGCAGCUUACUGGGCCAUUACUGACGCUGAUGCACGAAAGCGUGGGGAUC
Molecule: ribosomal RNA, 248 nt
Filed under: uncultured bacterium
Lineage: Bacteria
Description: partial 16S ribosomal RNA
Rfam family: Bacterial small subunit ribosomal RNA
Source: RNAcentral